UUUUUAAAGUGAGGAAGGGAAACUGUCUACCUCACAGGAUGCUUCUUGUAAAUAUGUAGUAGAAGAGAAUGUGGAGGUUGCAGAAGAGACUCCUUCAGUUCUGCAGCCUACUAACAGCAAUCCAGAACAGAGGACUGAUCAACACACCCAUUUAGGAGAGGCGUCUGUUAAUGGCCCUGUAUGAUAUGUGAUGUCUGCUACCUUGGCUGAAGAAAAUGAACUGAUAUCCAGGUGUUUGAGUGUUUCUUGAGGAUUUCAUCUAGACCCUGUUGAAGCCAGUCACUGCUGCACUAAUUUCGCAAGAGAUCAGGACCAGCAACAUUUAUAUUCUAGAUUUUAAGACAUUGUACAGAAAUUCAUAAGUGUAAAAAUAUUGCACAUUGAGAAAUACCAAUAAUUUUUGCGUAUGUUUAUAUUGUAUUGUUCUAAAUAAUGGGUGGCCUGUGAAGUAAGAUCCUGCUACCCAUGUAAUGAUGACAGUAGUGUUACUAUAGUUAAAAUGGCUGUAAGAAUAGUUUUAUAAAAAAGUGAAUACACAAAUCUAAUGUAUUUGAGACCUAACUAUUUGACGAUUAGUGUGACCAAAGUAUUUAGCAGUUUUCAUACAUUUUUCACCUUGUAAAAAGAAAAGAAAAAAAUGAAUUCAUGUUUCUUCUGAAACUAAAAUGCCCUAUAAAUGUUAUUUUGGUUGUUUUAGCUUACAAAAGUGAUUUAAAUAAGAAUUUUUUGGUGUUCAACAUUUUACAACAGGUUUUUUAAUUGGUAAUUGUUUUCUGUAUUGUUUAAAACAGAUCAAAAGUGUAAGUCUAUUGGUAGAGAUUUUAAGUAUUUAUUGCUACAACUUAGUUGACAAAUUGAUGUUACUGUAAAGCCAUAUGUUCUGUUAAGUCUUGUUUGCUUGAAACAAUACCUUACAGGUGAAACACUAGAAUAUUUGAAGUGCACAUGGCUUGUUGUGUUUAAAGUGAUUCACCUGCGUUUUAACCCAUUCACCAAGAUUUAGUUUAAUAUCAAGCAUUAUACAAUGGAACAUUUCAGAACAAUCUACGUAUUUAAAACGCUAUAAUCCUUUUAGAUAAGUAAACAAAAUGCCUGUGCUGCUAAUGUAAUUGCAGUACAUGCAUUUUAAAAGUAUAUAGUGUUUUUAAUACAAAUUUUGGCAGCGGAGCAUGUUAAUUGUUACUUUCACUGUACUGAUCUAUGUGAGGCUUUCAUUUGUAUGUUCUAAACCAGUUUUUUCAGAGCUGGUUUGUGUAUAUAUAUAGUGAUUAUGGAAACUAAUUCUGUGUAAUUUAUAAUUUUCUAUGUCAGUGUAAAAUUCCAACAGCCUUCUCAAACAAACAGAAGCAAUAUACUGUAUAUUGCCACAUUGUCUGGUGAAAGGGUUAAAGUACUUCACCUCCUGCACUUUUAGAUGCAAAUCCACUUUUGUUUCUGUAAUAGUUCUAUUCCUUUAUUUUUUACAUCAUUUGUUUCCUGACCAGUAUUUAAAGCCAAAAGGAUAUUCAAAACAAUGGCCAAUGCUUUAUUUUAGAAGGUGUCCCAAGCAACGUGCCUAAACAUUACAUUGCAUACAGAAAUAAAA
Antrostomus carolinensis (chuck-will's-widow) is the source of this 1585-nucleotide long non-coding RNA. RefSeq lists it as uncharacterized. The record is from RefSeq and is a predicted model, not a curated record. NCBI's taxonomy places the organism in Eukaryota, Metazoa, Chordata, Aves, Caprimulgiformes, Caprimulgidae. The transcript is spliced from 2 exons.